RNAcentral lists this ribosomal RNA (253 nucleotides) under uncultured bacterium. RNAcentral's name for it is "partial 16S ribosomal RNA". It matches the Rfam family "Bacterial small subunit ribosomal RNA", at positions 524 to 776 of the family's 1533-position model. The record is from RNAcentral.
UACGUAGGGUGCAAGCGUUGUCCGGAAUUAUUGGGCGUAAAGGGCUCGUAGGCGGUUUGUCGCGUCGGGAGUGAAAACCCAGGGCUUAACCCUGGGCCUGCUUCCGAUACGGGCAGACUAGAGGUAUGCAGGGGAGAACGGAAUUCCUGGUGUAGCGGUGAAAUGCGCAGAUAUCAGGAGGAACACCGGUGGCGAAGGCGGUUCUCUGGGCAUUACCUGACGCUGAGGAGCGAAAGUGUGGGGAGCGAACAGG